This 460-nucleotide ribosomal RNA is filed under the name uncultured bacterium. Its description in RNAcentral is "partial 16S ribosomal RNA". It matches the Rfam family "Bacterial small subunit ribosomal RNA", at positions 338 to 795 of the family's 1533-position model. The record is from RNAcentral.
CCUACGUGUGGCAGCAGUGAGGAAUAUUGGUCAAUGGGCGCGAGCCUGAACCAGCCAAGUCGCGUGAGGGAAGACGGCCCUACGGGUUGUAAACCUCUUUUGCCGGGGAGCAACGGGCGCCACGUGUGGCGCCACUGAGAGUACCCGGAGAAAAAGCAUCGGCUAACUCCGUGCCAGCAGCCGCGGUAAGACGGAGGAUGCGAGCGUUAUCCGGAUUUAUUGGGUUUAAAGGGUGCGUAGGCGGAGCGUUAAGUCCGUGGGCAAAGUGCGGGGCUCAACCCCUUCCCGCCAUUGAAACUGGCGGUCUUGGGGGGGAGAGAAGGAUGCGGAAUGCGGGGUGGAGCGGUGAAGUGCAUAGAUAGCACGCAGAACCCCGAUUGGGAAGGCAGCAUGCCGGCUUCCGACUGACGCGGAAGCACGAAAGCGUGGGGAUCGAACAGGAUUAGAUACCCGAGUAGUC